RNAcentral lists this ribosomal RNA (500 nucleotides) under uncultured bacterium. Its description in RNAcentral is "partial 16S ribosomal RNA". It matches the Rfam family "Bacterial small subunit ribosomal RNA", at positions 28 to 523 of the family's 1533-position model. The record is from RNAcentral.
GACGAACGCUGGCGGCGUGCCUAAUACAUGCAAGUCGAGCGGACCUCUUCGGAGGUCAGCGGCGGACGGGUGAGUAACACGUGGGCAACCUGCCUGUAAGACUGGGAUAACUCCGGGAAACCGGAGCUAAUACCGGAUAUUAUGUCAAACCGCAUGGUUUGACAUUCAAAGACGGUUUCGGCUGUCACUUACAGAUGGGCCCGCGGCGCAUUAGCUAGCUGGUGAGGUAACGGCUCACCAAGGCGACGAUGCGUAGUCGACCUGAGAGGGUGAUCGGCCACACUGGGACUGAGACACGGCCCAGACUCCUACGGGAGGCAGCAGUAGGGAAUCUUCCGCAAUGGACGAAAGUCUGACGGAGCAACGCCGCGUGAGUGAUGAAGGUUUUCGGAUCGUAAAACUCUGUUGUCAGGGAAGAACAAGUGCCGGAGUAACUGCCGGCGCCUUGACGGUACCUGACCAGAAAGCCACGGCUAACUACGUGCCAGCCGCCGCGGUAA